RNAcentral lists this ribosomal RNA (253 nucleotides) under uncultured bacterium. RNAcentral describes it as "partial 16S ribosomal RNA". It matches the Rfam family "Bacterial small subunit ribosomal RNA", at positions 524 to 776 of the family's 1533-position model. The record is from RNAcentral.
CACGUAGGGCGCAAGCGUUGUCCGGAAUUAUUGGGCGUAAAGAGCUCGUAGGCGGUUUGUCGCGUCUGCUGUGAAAACCUAAGGCUCAACCUUGGGCCUGCAGUGGGUACGGGCAGACUAGAGUGCGGUAGGGGUGACUGGAAUUCCUGGUGUAGCGGUGGAAUGCGCAGAUAUCAGGAGGAACACCGGUGGCGAAGGCGGGUCUCUGGGACGGUACUGACGCUGAGACGCGAAAGCGUGGGGAGCGAACAGG